This 497-nucleotide ribosomal RNA is filed under the name uncultured bacterium. Its description in RNAcentral is "partial 16S ribosomal RNA". It matches the Rfam family "Bacterial small subunit ribosomal RNA", at positions 28 to 507 of the family's 1533-position model. The record is from RNAcentral.
GACGAACGCUGGCGGCGUGCCUAAUACAUGCAAGUUGAGCGCUGAAGGUUGGUACUUGUACCAACUGGAUGAGCAGCGAACGGGUGAGUAACGCGUGGGGAAUCUGCCUUUGAGCGGGGGACAACAUUUGGAAACGAAUGCUAAUACCGCAUAAAAACUUUAAACACAAGUUUUAAGUUUGAAAGAUGCAAUUGCAUCACUCAAAGAUGAUCCCGCGUUGUAUUAGCUAGUUGGUGAGGUAAAGGCUCACCAAGGCGAUGAUACAUAGCCGACCUGAGAGGGUGAUCGGCCACAUUGGGACUGAGACACGGCCCAAACUCCUACGGGAGGCAGCAGUAGGGAAUCUUCGGCAAUAGACGAAAGUCUGACCGAGCAACGCCGCGUGAGUGAAGAAGGUUUUCGGAUCGUAAAACUCUGUUGGUAGAGAAGAACGUUGGUGAGAGUGGAAAGCUCACCAAGUGACGGUAACUACCCAGAAAGGGACGGCUAACUACGUG